This 484-nucleotide ribosomal RNA is filed under the name uncultured bacterium. Its description in RNAcentral is "partial 16S ribosomal RNA". It matches the Rfam family "Bacterial small subunit ribosomal RNA", at positions 30 to 507 of the family's 1533-position model. The record is from RNAcentral.
AUUGAACGCUGGCGGCAGGCCUAACACAUGCAAGUCGAGCGGAUGAAGGGAGCUUGCUCCUGGAUUCAGCGGCGGACGGGUGAGUAAUGCCUAGGAAUCUGCCUGGUAGUGGGGGAUAACGUCCGGAAACGGGCGCUAAUACCGCAUACGUCCUGAGGGAGAAAGUGGGGGAUCUUCGGACCUCACGCUAUCAGAUGAGCCUAGGUCGGAUUAGCUAGUUGGUGGGGUAAAGGCCGACCAAGGCGACGAUCCGUAACUGGUCUGAGAGGAUGAACAGUCACACUGGAACUGAGACACGGUCCAGACUCCUACGGGAGGCAGCAGUGGGGAAUAUUGGACAAUGGGCGAAAGCCUGAUCCAGCCAUGCCGCGUGUGUGAAGAAGGUCUUCGGAUUGUAAAGCACUUUAAGUUGGGAGGAAGGGCAGUAAGUUAAUACCUUGCUGUUUUGACGUUACCAACAGAAUAAGCACCGGCUAACUUCAUG